This 72-nucleotide transfer RNA is filed under the name Tursiops truncatus (common bottlenose dolphin). RNAcentral's name for it is "tRNA-Glu (TTC) (tRNA-Glu-TTC-33-1)". It matches the Rfam family "tRNA". Rfam says of the family: Transfer RNA (tRNA) molecules are approximately 80 nucleotides in length. Their secondary structure includes four short double-helical elements and three loops (D, anti-codon, and T loops). Lineage: Eukaryota; Metazoa; Chordata; Mammalia; Artiodactyla; Delphinidae. The record is from Rfam by way of RNAcentral.
UCCCCGGUGGUUCAGUGGUUAGGAUGCGGCGCUUUCACUGCCGUGGCCCAGGUUCAAUCCCUGGUCGGGGAA